This 347-nucleotide ribosomal RNA is filed under the name uncultured bacterium. RNAcentral describes it as "partial 16S ribosomal RNA". It matches the Rfam family "Bacterial small subunit ribosomal RNA", at positions 338 to 682 of the family's 1533-position model. The record is from RNAcentral.
CCUACGGGAGACAGCAGUGAGGAAUAUUGGUCAAUGGGCGCGAGCCUGAACCAGCCAAGUAGCGUGAAGGAUGACUGCCCUACGGGUUGUAAACUCCUUUUAUAAAGGAAUAAAGUCAGGCACGUGUGCCUUUUUGUAUGUACUUUAUGAAUAAGGAUCGGCGAACCCCGUGCCAGCAGCCGCGGUAAUACGGAGGGUCCGAGCGUUAUCCGGAUUUAUUUGGUUUAAAGGGAGCGUAGAUGGGUUGUUAAGUCAGUUGUGAAAGUUUGCGGCUCAACCGUAAAAUUGCAAUUGAUACUGGCAGUCUUGAGUACAGUUGAGGUAGGCGGAAUUCGUGGUGAAGCGGU